GUCGAACGGAAGAAUACGGCGACGAGAUUUCGGUCAAAUCAAGUGUAUCUCUUUUGGCGGACGGGUGAGUAACGCGUGGGUAACCUGCCAUAUACAGGGGGAUAACACUUAGAAAUAGGUGCUAAUACCGCAUAAGCGCACAUGGCCGCAUGGCCAGGUGUGAAAAACUCCGGUGGUAUAUGAUGGACCCGCGUCUGAUUAGCUAGUUGGUGAGGUAACGGCCCACCAAGGCGACGAUCAGUAGCCGGCCUGAGAGGGUGGACGGCCACAUUGGGACUGAGACACGGCCCAAACUCCUACGGGAGGCAGCAGUGGGGGAUAUUGGACAAUGGGGGGAACCCUGAUCCAGCGACGCCGCGUGAGUGAAGAAGUAUCUCGGUAUGUAAAGCUCUAUCAGCAGGGAAGAAAGAAAUGACGGUACCUGAGUAAGAAGCCCCGGCUAACUACGUGCCAGCAGCCGCGGUAAUACGUAGGGGGCAAGCGUUAUCCGGAAUUACUGGGUGUAAAGGGAGCGUAGACGGUGAUGUAAGUCUGGAGUGAAAGGCGGGGGCCCAACCCCCGGACUGCUCUGGAAACUAUAUGACUGGAGUGCAGGAGAGGUGAGCGGAAUUCCUAGUGUAGCGGUGAAAUGCGUAGAUAUUAGGAGGAACACCAGUGGCGAAGGCGGCUCACUGGACUGUAACUGACGUUGAGGCUCGAAAGCGUGGGGAGCAAACAGGAUU
RNAcentral lists this ribosomal RNA (722 nucleotides) under uncultured bacterium. RNAcentral describes it as "bacterial SSU rRNA". It matches the Rfam family "Bacterial small subunit ribosomal RNA", at positions 61 to 779 of the family's 1533-position model. The record is from RNAcentral.